Nylanderia fulva is the source of this 563-nucleotide non-coding RNA. Lineage: Eukaryota; Metazoa; Arthropoda; Insecta; Hymenoptera; Formicidae. The record is from RefSeq and is a predicted model, not a curated record.
UUUUAUAAACUUUAUCUUACAUUUUUUUUAACUUAAUUUUUUAUGCUGUAAAGAAGUAUUCAAAUAGAUAUAAAAGCACACAAAAUGUCAUUAUUUAUUACAAGUUUACGAUAUUUAUUAUAUGAAUAUCAAAUUUAUCUUAAACUACGAUAUAAACAUUUCUGAUAGAAUUUUUUAUUGUUUAGAUAAACAUUUUAUUACAAGUUCUCUUAUAAAGUUGGACAAAUCGAAUACGAUCGCCACUACAACUUAUAUCUUGCUUUACUAAAUAUUUCGAAGAAUUAUUAAACCAUGAAGCCUAGUUUCAUUUUUAUAUUCGUGCUCGUCUUGAUUGUAGGAAUUAUUAUUCCUAGUGAAGUAAUUGCUGAUUGUAAGUGUACAGGCGAAAAAAUAAUAGAGAUAGUAAGAAAGGCUAUGCCCAUAGAAUGUGGCGGCGAACAUAAAGUUGAAUAAUAAUUCUACAAUAUUUUGGAGAUCCACCUAUAUGACGACAUAAAAACAAUGAUACUGGCAACAAUAAUAUACAAUUAAACGAUGAAGAUAUCCUGAUGAUGAUGAAAAAA